AGAGUUUGAUCAUGGCUCAGAUUGAACGCUGGCGGCAUGCCUUACACAUGCAAGUCGAACGGUAACGCGGGGCAACCUGGCGACGAGUGGCGAACGGGUGAGUAAUACAUCGGAACGUGCCCAGUAGUGGGGGAUAGCCCGGCGAAAGCCGGAUUAAUACCGCAUACGACCUACGGGUGAAAGCAGGGGAUCGCAAGACCUUGCGCUAUUGGAGCGGCCGAUGUCAGAUUAGGUUGUUGGUGGGGUAAAAGCCUACCAAGCCGACGAUCUGUAGCUGGUCUGAGAGGACGACCAGCCACACUGGGACUGAGACACGGCCCAGACUCCUACGGGAGGCAGCAGUGGGGAAUUUUGGACAAUGGGCGCAAGCCUGAUCCAGCCAUGCCGCGUGCGGGAAGAAGGCCUUCGGGUUGUAAACCGCUUUUGUCAGGGAAGAAACGCUCCGGGCUAAUACCUUGGGGUAAUGACGGUACCUGAAGAAUAAGCACCGGCUAACUACGUG
Molecule: ribosomal RNA, 502 nt
Filed under: uncultured bacterium
Lineage: Bacteria
Description: bacterial SSU rRNA
Rfam family: Bacterial small subunit ribosomal RNA
Source: RNAcentral